RNAcentral lists this ribosomal RNA (497 nucleotides) under uncultured bacterium. RNAcentral's name for it is "partial 16S ribosomal RNA". It matches the Rfam family "Bacterial small subunit ribosomal RNA", at positions 28 to 507 of the family's 1533-position model. The record is from RNAcentral.
GAUGAACGCUGGCGGCGUGCCUAAUACAUGCAAGUCGAGCGAACAGAUGAGGAGCUUGCUCCUCUGACGUUAGCGGCGGACGGGUGAGUAACACGUGGAUAACCUACCUAUAAGACUGGGAUAACUUCGGGAAACCGGAGCUAAUACCGGAUAAUAUAUUGAACCGCAUGGUUCAAUAGUGAAAGACGGUUUUGCUGUCACUUAUAGAUGGAUCCGCGCCGCAUUAGCUAGUUGGUAAGGUAACGGCUUACCAAGGCAACGAUGCGUAGCCGACCUGAGAGGGUGAUCGGCCACACUGGAACUGAGACACGGUCCAGACUCCUACGGGAGGCAACAGUAGGGAAUCUUCCGCAAUGGGCGAAAGCCUGACGGAGCAACGCCGCGUGAGUGAUGAAGGUCUUCGGAUCGUAAAACUCUGUUAUUAGGGAAGAACAAAUGUGUAAGUAACUAUGCACGUCUUGACGGUACCUAAUCAGAAAGCCACGGCUAAAUACGUG